UAAAUAAUUAUUUUUAUUGUAAUAAAAUUUUAAUUUUAAAUAAAUAAAAAUUUUUUUAAUUAAUAUUUAAAAUAAUUUAUUUAAAUGAAAAUUUAUUAUAGGAAAUUUUAUUUUAUUAUUAAUAAAUAAAAGUGCCAGCAAUUGCGGUUAUACUUUAGAUAAAAAUAAAUUAUUUUAAUUAAAUUGAUUAGUUAUUUUAAAAAUUUUUUAAAUUAAAUUAAAUAAUUUUUUAUGGUGAAAUAUAAAACUAAAUAUUUUGAUUUAAAUUUUGAAUGAUAAUAGAUUAUAUAAAUUUUGUAAUAAAUUAGGAUUAGAUACCCUAUUAUAUUAAUUUAAGUAAAUUUAAAAAUUAAAUAUUAAAUGUUUAAUCAUUAAAGAUAAAAAAUUUGGCGGUAUUUUAUUUUAUUAGAGGAAUUUGUUAAUUAAUUUGAUAAUCCACGAUUAGAAUUACUUAGUUUUAAGAUUUUUAUGUAUUGUUGUUGUAAAAUUAUAUUAUUAGAUAUUUAUUGAGAUAUUUUAUUAAAAUUAUAUUUCAAAUAAUAAUUCAAAUCAAAAUGUAGAUUAAUUAAGAUUUUUAAUGAAUUACAAUUAUUUUUAAAUAAUGAAUAUUAAAUUUUAAAUAUUUAAUGGAAAAUGGAUUUAAAUGUAAAUUUAUGAAAAAUUUAUAAAUUGAAUUUUAUUUAAAAUAUGUACAAAUUGCCCGUCAUUUUCAUUUUAAGUGUGAAAGAAGUCGUAACAAAGUAAAUGUACUGGAAAGUGUAUUUAGUUUUAA
Molecule: non-coding RNA, 772 nt
Filed under: Acropyga butteli
Lineage: Eukaryota; Metazoa; Arthropoda; Insecta; Hymenoptera; Formicidae
Source: RNAcentral